GUGAGGGGAGUGAAAUAGAACCUGAAACCGUGUACGUACAAGCAGUAGGAGCACCUUCGUGGUGUGACUGCGUACCUUUUGUAUAAUGGGUCAGCGACUUAUAUUCAGUGGCAAGGUUAACCGUAUAGGGGAGCCGUAGCGAAAGCGAGUCUUAACUGGGCGCUCAGUCUCUGGAUAUAGACCCGAAACCGGGUGAUCUAGCCAUGGGCAGGUUGAAGGUUGAGUAACAUCAACUGGAGGACCGAACCGACUAAUGUUGAAAAAUUAGCGGAUGACUUGUGGCUAGGGGUGAAAGGCCAAUCAAACUCGGAGAUAGCUGGUUCUCCCCGAAAGCUAUUUAGGUAGCGCCUCGGACGAAUACUACUGGGGGUAGAGCACUGUUAAGGCUAGGGGGUCAUCCCGACUUACCAACCCUUUGCAAACUCCGAAUACCAGUAAGUACUAUCCGGGAGACACACGGCGGGUGCUAACGUCCGUCGUGGAGAGGGAAACAACCCAGACCGCCAGCUAAGGUCCCAAAGUAUUGCUAAGUGGGAAACGAUGUGGGAAGGCUCAGACAGCUAGGAUGUUGGCUUAGAAGCAGCCAUCAUUUAAAGAAAGCGUAAUAGCUCACUAGUCGAGUCGGCCUGCGCGGAAGAUGUAACGGGGCUAAGCAAUACACCGAAGCUGCGGCAAUGUCUUUUAGA
RNAcentral lists this ribosomal RNA (686 nucleotides) under Vibrio cholerae. RNAcentral's name for it is "partial 23S ribosomal RNA". It matches the Rfam family "Bacterial large subunit ribosomal RNA", at positions 529 to 1219 of the family's 2925-position model. The record is from RNAcentral. Lineage: Bacteria; Pseudomonadati; Pseudomonadota; Gammaproteobacteria; Vibrionales; Vibrionaceae.